This is a long non-coding RNA of Fundulus heteroclitus (mummichog), 945 nucleotides long. RefSeq lists it as uncharacterized. Lineage: Eukaryota; Metazoa; Chordata; Actinopteri; Cyprinodontiformes; Fundulidae. The transcript is spliced from 3 exons. The record is from RefSeq and is a predicted model, not a curated record.
CAUAGUUUUCUUGUUUAACCGAAUUCUUUGUUUCUAAAUUUUUACAACAUUUUUUGAGUAAAAUGUUUAACCUUUGGCUGAACAGAAGAUGGGUCUUAUUAUCGAUAUGUCCAUAAAUUCUAAAAGACGUCAACCAGCUGCUUGGGAGUCGGGGUAGGGAAAAAAAAAAAGCCUACUCUGUGCAACCAUCACAAACUGAAAACCUAACUGUUCUGGGACUUAGACUGGAACUGUGUGCUUCGGUCAGAAGAGUCUAAGCUUUAGCCUUUUGGUAACAAGCACUGCAGCAGGGUUUGGGGUCAAACAAUGCAUUAAAGGGAUUUACUUUCAUAAAGAUAAAGUAUCUUGUUGUAUAUAUUGUUUUAACCAUUUUCUUUUUAUUCUUUUAGGGUUUUUAAAUGGGAACGUUCUAUAAGGGCAUUUCUACCACAAAAUCCAAGAAUGGAACCCUUCCCAUGAAUACUGCCUCCUCUACAACCCAAUUGACGGAAUUCGAAACCGACACAGAUUCAACAAAUAGGAUCUUCUCACCAACACGGCAAUCAAAGGCGGGGCUUACCGGUCGAUGGUUUCUUCCGCGCAACUCCAAGACAGGCUCAAGAUAAAACAACUCCGGUUAUUUUUCUGCUUGACGCAUGGCGUGACAAGAUGAUAACAGACCGGAUGUCAACGCUGUUCUGCAACUGUUGCAACUGGAGAGAUGUUUUGGGUGAUCAAGAAAGUGGUAGCUUUUUAGACCCGCCCUCCUCACAACACCCGAUACCGCCCCCCUUCAACGUUAACCACACCCCUUCUCAGUAUAAAAAAAAACAACCGGACAGACCGAUCGGAACAUCCAUGCAACUUCACUGACCAGACUUUUAGCAUCUGAAACCAUGAACAACUACGCGGUUGAAAGAACUACAGCUUCAACAUCAUCGCAGCAUGACUCCCCGGACAGCGAUA